RNAcentral lists this ribosomal RNA (700 nucleotides) under Pseudomonas aeruginosa. RNAcentral describes it as "bacterial SSU rRNA". It matches the Rfam family "Bacterial small subunit ribosomal RNA", at positions 56 to 753 of the family's 1533-position model. The record is from RNAcentral. Lineage: Bacteria; Pseudomonadati; Pseudomonadota; Gammaproteobacteria; Pseudomonadales; Pseudomonadaceae.
UGCAGUCGAGCGGAUGACGGAGGUUGCUCCUGGAUUCAGCGGGGGACGGGUGAGUAAUGCCUAUGAAUCUGCCUGGUAGUGGGGGAUAACGUCCGGAAACGGGCGCUAAUACCGCAUACGUCCUGAGGGAGAAAGUGGGGGAUCUUCGGACCUCUCGCUAUCAGAUGAUGCUAGGUCGGAUUAUCUAUUUGGGGGGGUAAAGGCCUACCCAGGCGACAAUCCGUAACUGUGCUGAGAGGAUGAUCACUCACACUGUAACUGAGACACGGUCCACACUCCUACGGGAGGCAGCAGUGGGGAAUAUUGUACAAUGGGCGAAAGCCUGAUCCACCCAUGCCGCGUGUGUGAAAAAAGUCUUCGGAUUGUAAAGCACUUUUUUUUGGGAGGAAGGGCCCUUGGUUAAUACCUUGCUGUUUUGACGUUACCACCAAAAUAAACACCGGCUAUCUUCGUGCCACCACCCGCGGUAAUACAAAGGGUGCGAGCGUUAAUCGGAAUUACUGUGCGUAAAGCGCGCGUACGUGGUUCAUCAAGUUGGAUGUGAAAUCUCCGCGCUCUCCCUGUGAACUGUGUCCUGAACUACUGAGCUAUAGUACGGGAGAGGGUGGUGGAAUUUCCUGUGUAGCGGAGAGAUGCGUAUAUAUAUGAAGAAACAUCAGUGUCGAAAGCGACCACCUGUGCUGAUACUGACACUGACGUG